RNAcentral lists this transfer RNA (84 nucleotides) under Caminibacter mediatlanticus TB-2. Its description in RNAcentral is "tRNA-Leu". It matches the Rfam family "tRNA". From Rfam's summary of the family: Transfer RNA (tRNA) molecules are approximately 80 nucleotides in length. Their secondary structure includes four short double-helical elements and three loops (D, anti-codon, and T loops). Lineage: Bacteria; Pseudomonadati; Campylobacterota; Epsilonproteobacteria; Nautiliales; Nautiliaceae. The record is from RNAcentral.
GCGGCGGUGGCGGAACUGGUAGACGCGCAAGAUUGAGGGUCUUGUGGGCGUAAGCCCGUGGGGGUUCGAGUCCCCCCCGCCGCA